CACGCCGUAAACGAUGGAUACUAGCUGUUGGGAGCAAUCUCAGUGGCUAAGCGAAAGUGAUAAGUAUCCCACCUGGGGAGUACGUUCGCAAGAAUGAAACUCAAAGGAAUUGACGGGGGC
Molecule: ribosomal RNA, 120 nt
Filed under: uncultured bacterium
Lineage: Bacteria
Description: partial 16S ribosomal RNA
Rfam family: Bacterial small subunit ribosomal RNA
Source: RNAcentral